RNAcentral lists this ribosomal RNA (725 nucleotides) under Escherichia coli. RNAcentral describes it as "SSU rRNA". It matches the Rfam family "Eukaryotic small subunit ribosomal RNA", at positions 311 to 1042 of the family's 1831-position model. The record is from RNAcentral. Lineage: Bacteria; Pseudomonadati; Pseudomonadota; Gammaproteobacteria; Enterobacterales; Enterobacteriaceae.
CCUAUCAACUUUCGAUGGUAGGAUAGUGGCCUACCAUGGUUUCAACGGGUAACGGGGAAUAAGGGUUCGAUUCCGGAGAGGGAGCCUGAGAAACGGCUACCACAUCCAAGGAAGGCAGCAGGCGCGCAAAUUACCCAAUCCUAAUUCAGGGAGGUAGUGACAAUAAAUAACGAUACAGGGCCCAUUCGGGUCUUGUAAUUGGAAUGAGUACAAUGUAAAUACCUUAACGAGGAACAAUUGGAGGGCAAGUCUGGUGCCAGCAGCCGCGGUAAUUCCAGCUCCAAUAGCGUAUAUUAAAGUUGUUGCAGUUAAAAAGCUCGUAGUUGAACUUUGGGCCCGGUUGGCCGGUCCGAUUUUUUCGUGUACUGGAUUUCCAACGGGGCCUUUCCUUCUGGCUAACCUUGAGUCCUUGUGGCUCUUGGCGAACCAGGACUUUUACUUUGAAAAAAUUAGAGUGUUCAAAGCAGGCGUAUUGCUCGAAUAUAUUAGCAUGGAAUAAUAGAAUAGGACGUUUGGUUCUAUUUUGUUGGUUUCUAGGACCAUCGUAAUGAUUAAUAGGGACGGUCGGGGGCAUCAGUAUUCAAUUGUCAGAGGUGAAAUUCUUGGAUUUAUUGAAGACUAACUACUGCGAAAGCAUUUGCCAAGGACGUUUUCAUUAACCAAGAACGAAAGUUAGGGGAUCGAAGAUGAUCAGAUACCGUCGUAGUCUUAACCAUAAACUAUGC